CGGCUUAGAGUUUGAUCAUGGCUCAGGACGAACGCUGGCGGCGUGCUUCAAACAUGCAAGUCGAACGGAGAACUUUCAAAGCUUGCUUUGAAAGUUCUUAGUGGCGGACUGGUGAGUAACGCGUGAGUAAUCUGCCUAUUACAGGGGGAUAACAGAGGGAAACUUCUGCUAAUACCGCAUAAGACCACGGUAUGGCAUCAUACAGGGGUCAAAGGGUUUACUGGUAAUAGAUGAGCUUGCGUAUCAUUAGCUAGUUGGUGAGGGUAACGGCCUACCAAGGCGACGAUGAUUAGCCGAUCUGAGAGGAUGACCGGCCACACUGGAACUGAGAUACGGUCCAGACUCCUACGGGAGGCAGCAGUUAGGAAUAUUGGGCAAUGGAGGGAACUCUGACCCAGCAACGCCGCGUGAAGGAAGAAGGUUUUCGGACUGUAAACUUCUGAUCUAAGGGAAAAAGAAAGUGAUGGUACCUUAGGAGAAAGCCACGGCUGACUACGUGCCAGCAGCCGCGGUAAUACGUAGGUGGCGAGCGUUGUCCGGAAUGACUGGGCGUAAAGGGAGCGUAGGUUGCAAAUUAAGUUAGGUGUGAAAGGUCAAGGCUCAACCUUGGAAGUGCAUCUAAAACUGGUUAGCUAGAGUACAGGAGGGGUAAGCG
This 655-nucleotide ribosomal RNA is filed under the name uncultured bacterium. RNAcentral describes it as "bacterial SSU rRNA". It matches the Rfam family "Bacterial small subunit ribosomal RNA", at positions 1 to 663 of the family's 1533-position model. The record is from RNAcentral.